GAAAGCACGACAUUGCUCACAUUGCUUCCAGUAUUUCUUGCCAGCCUUGCGCUGGCUUUUUUUU
Molecule: small RNA, 64 nt
Organism: Erwinia sp.
Lineage: Bacteria; Pseudomonadati; Pseudomonadota; Gammaproteobacteria; Enterobacterales; Erwiniaceae
Source: Rfam